RNAcentral lists this ribosomal RNA (399 nucleotides) under uncultured bacterium. Its description in RNAcentral is "bacterial SSU rRNA". It matches the Rfam family "Bacterial small subunit ribosomal RNA", at positions 355 to 744 of the family's 1533-position model. The record is from RNAcentral.
UGGGGAAUUUUGGACAAUGGGCGCAAGCCUGAUCCAGCCAUGCCGCGUGAGUGAAGAAGGCCUUCGGGUUGUAAAGCUCUUUCGGCGGGGAAGAAAUUGCACUCUCUAAUACAGGGUGUAGAUGACGGUACCCGCAUAAGAAGCACCGGCUAACUACGUGCCAGCAGCCGCGGUAAUACGUAGGGUGCGAGCGUUAAUCGGAAUUACUGGGCGUAAAGCGUGCGCAGGUGGUUGUGUAAGUCAGAUGUGAAAUCCCCGGGGCUCAACCUGGGAACUGCAUUUGAGACUGCACGGCUAGAGGAUGGCAGAGGGGGGUUAGAAUUCCACGUGUAGCAGUGAAAUGCGUAGAGAUGUGAGGAAUACCGAUGGCGAAGGCAGCCCCCGUGGGCUAUUUCUGAC